Molecule: long non-coding RNA, 5503 nt
Filed under: Homo sapiens (human)
Lineage: Eukaryota; Metazoa; Chordata; Mammalia; Primates; Hominidae
Description: HSALNT0028783
Source: RNAcentral
UUGUGAUCCGCCUGCCUCGGCCUCCCAAAGUGCUGGGAUUACAGGCAUGAGCCACUGUGCCCGGCCUGACAUGUUGUAUUUUCAUUUUCAUUCUGUUCAGAAUAUUUUCUACUUUCCCUUGAGAUUUCUUCUUUGACCCCUGAAUAAUUUAGAUGUGUAUUGUUUAAUUUUUAAAUAUUUGGGAUUUCUCAGAUUUUGUGUUAACAAUUUCUCAUUUAAUUAUGUGAUAGUCAAAGAAUAUACUAUGUAUUAUUUUAAUUCAUUUAAAUUUAUUCUGGUUUGUUUUGUUAUCCAGAAUGCAAUCUAUCUUGGUGAAUGCAUUCUGCAUUUUUUUUACAUGCACCUGAAAAAAAACUGUGUAUUCUGUUGUCAUUGAGUGGAGUGUUCUGUUAGUAGCAGUUAUAUCACAUUGAUUGCUCAUGUUGUUCAGGUCUUCCAUAUCCUUGCUGAUUUUCUGUCUACUUAUACCAGUUACUGAGAGAGGAGUGUUGACAUCUCCAAGUAUAAUUGUGGAUUUGUCUGUUUCUGUUUUCAGUUCUAUCAGUUUUUCCUUCAUGUAUCUUAAAGCUCUAUUGUUAGUUGUAUUACAUUUUGGAUUGUUAUGAGUUCUUGGUGAAUUGAACAUUUUAUUAUCAUGUAAUAUUCUUUAUCCCUGGUAAUUGUCCUUGUUCAGAUUCUACUUUAUUACUAAUAUAGCUACUUCAUUCUUUUUUAAACAAUAAAUAUUUGGAUGAUAUAGCUUUUCUCAUCAUUUUACUUUUUUCCCCCUCUAGACUUUCAUCUUUCCAUGUAUGUGUCAAAAGUCAAAAUUACAACAAAUUUAGUGCAAAUACUUAAUUUGCUUUUAUUGGCAAUUCUAGAAUGGGGUAACAUCUUAUUCCAUAAAACAGAAUGGAUAUUCUGAUGAGUUGCGCAGAGGAGGCUGGCUUUACAAGCAGAAAAGGGCUGCAGAAAGCAGAAAUGGAACAAAAGGGAAUUAUUAACAUCAGUUAGUUCAGGUUACUUUCUUACACGGUUAAAACAGAGGGGGACUUCCUUAUGCUAGUUCAGACAAGCCGAGUCCCCUUCUGGUUAGUUGCUGUGAAUCUCCUGCUUCAUUUUGUUUUAAUUGGCUCAUUUCAAAGUUCACUGUGAUUGCCUUGCACUUAAUAUGAAUGACUCCAUUCUGGUUUGGUCUGAUCUUAGGACAGGAGCUCAGUCCAAAACAAUAGCCUCCCACAAAAUUCAUUUAGCAUAUUUAAUUUCUGAUAUGGUUUGGAUUUGUGUCCCCACCCAAAUCUCAUGUUGAAUUGUAAUCCCCAAUGUUGGAGGAGGGACCUGGUGGGAGGUGAUUGGAUCAUGGGGACAGACAUCCCCCUCACUGUUCUUGUGAUAGUGAGUUCUCACAAUAUUUGGUUGUUUAAAAGUGUGUAGCACCUCCCCUUGCUUUCUCUUCCUCCUGCUCCUGCCAUAUAAGACAUGCCUGCUUCCCCUUCACCUUCCGCCAUGAUUGUAAGUUUCCUGAGGCCUCCCCAGCCAUGCUUGCAAAACCAUGAGCCAAUUAAACCUCUUUUCUUUAUAAAUUACCCAGUCUCAGGUAUUUCUUUAUAGUAGUGUGAGAAUGAACUAAUACAAUUUCCUUCUUCAACAAGGAGAAUUAUGUCUCUUAUUAUCCUUCAUAUAUAAUUUGGAAUUUUUUUAAUUCCCCAAAUACAUAUGAAGUAGCUAAAUAAGAAUUAACCCAUAUCACCAAAACAAACAAAAAACACCCCCUACUGACUAGAGUUCAAAAUUUGAUUAUAGUGUUUUUUGUCUUUAGACUGAGGACAUAUAGUGUAAAUAUUGUUUUCAAAAUAUUAGUUGGCUUAAUCUCCCUUUCCACUACCAUUUACUCUGAUUAUGUUAUUCUUUGAAACAAAAUUUAGUUAGUUUCUUUUGGUUUUAGUUCAUGUUAGGUUUUAAGGUUCCUCCUAUCUUUGUUGACUUUUUUUCGUAGUAUGUAAAAUAUUAACAUAGUCACAAAAGUCAUAACUAUGCCAACAAGUUAGAUCCAGAGAAGUGUCAGUGCCCCAACCCCUCUACCAUGUACCAAUCUCAUUAGUUUAUCUACCUGGUGUUUCUUUUGCUAAAAUAAACAAGUGUUGUACAUGCAUAUUUUAUUUCCCCUCUUUGUUUAUACAAAAGGGAACUAUUAUAUAGAUACUCCUUUGCAUAGUUUCAAAAAAACUUAAUAGACCUUUUUUUUAAAGCAGUUUUAGAUUUACAGAAAAAUUGAACAUAACAUACUGAAAUUUCCCUUACAUCUCGUCUCCCACUCCACCCCCUGCCCUAUUUCCCCUAUUAUUAACAUCUUGCAUUAGUGUGAUGCAUUUGUUACAAUUGGUAAGCAAAUAUUCAUACAUCAUUAUUAACUAAGGCCCACAGUUUGCAUUAGGGCUCACUCUGUGUUUUACAUUCUGUGGGCUUUGACAAAUGUUUAAUACCAUGCAUCCAUUAUUGCAGUAUCAUUCAGAAUAGUUUUGCUGCCCUAAAACUCCCUUGUGUUCCACUUAUUCAUUCCUCCCUUCCUGCUUCUGACAGCCACUAAUAUUUUUACUGUCAUCAUAGUUUUGUCUUUCUAGAAUGUUACAUAGUUAGAAUCAUAGAGUAUGUAGCCUUUUCAGAUUUGUUCAUUCACUUAACAAUAUGCAUUUAAGGUUCCUUCAUGUCUUUUUGUGGCUUGAUAGCUCAUUUCUUUUUAGCACUGAGCAAUAUUCCAUUGUAUGGAUAUGCCAGAGUCUGUUAUCCAUUCACCUGUUGAAGCAUAUCUUGGUUGCUUCCAAGUUUUGUCAAUUGUGAAUAAAGCUGCUACACAUAUUCAUGUGCAGGUUUUUUUUGUGGGCAUGUUUUCAACUCAUUGGGUAUAGGUAUAUAUAUAAUAAUGAUUGCUGGAUUAUUUGGAAAGGGUACUCUUAGUUUCAUAAGAAGAGCCAAACUGUCUUCCAAAGUUGCUGUGUUAUUUUGCAUUCUCACCAACAGUGUUCUUGUUUGUCCCACAGUUUGUCAGCAGUUAGUGCUAUGUGUGGUUUGGAUUUUGGCCAUUCUAAUAGGUGUGAAGUAGUGUUUUGUUGUUUUAAUUUGUAAUUCCCUAAUGACAUAUGACGUUGAGCAUUUUGUCAUAUGCUUACUUACUGUCUGUAGAUGGUAAGGUGUCUGGUUAGAUCUUUUGCCUAUUUUUAAAUUGUGACGCUUGUUGAGUUUUUAGAGUUCUUUGUUUUGGAUACCAGUCUUUUUAUCACAUACAUAUUUUGCAGAUAUUUUCUCCCAGUCUGGGGUUUGUCUUUUCAUUCUCUUUGCAGUCUUCAUCAUUUUACUUUUUAACUUAUAUAUAUUAUUAUAUUUCAAGUAGAUUGCUUUUAGAAAGAAACCUUGAUCUUCUUUGGUUUUUUAAAAAUCUAAUCUAACAAUCUGUUUUUUUAAUUGGUGUUUAGAUAAUUUACAUUUAAUGUAUUUUUAAAAGUUUUUGGUAAAAUACACAUAGCAUAAAAUUUGCCCUCUUAACCAUUUUGAAGUGUAUAGUUCAGUGGCAUUAAGGACAUUCACAUUGUUGUGCAGCCAUCAGUGGCAUCCAUCUCCGGAGCACUUUUCAUCUUGCAAAACUGAAGCUUUGUACUCAUUACACAAAAACUCCCCAUUUGACCGCCUUCAUAUAAGUGGACUCAGGUAGUAUUUUUCCUUUUGUGUCCGGCUUAUUUAAUUUACCAUAGUGUCCUUAGGUUUCAUCUAUGUUGUAGCACAUGUCAGAAUUUCCUUCCUUUUUAAGGUUGAAUAAUAUUUCAUUUUAUGUAUAGUUGACCCUUGAACAACAUGGGUUUGAAUCAUGCAGUUCCACUUAUUAUGUGGAGUUUCUUUCACCACUGCCACCCCUGAGACAGCAAAACCAACCCCUUCCUCCUGCCUCUCCCCCUCAGCCUGCUCAACAUGAAGAUGACAAGGAUGAUACCUCCAGCUAAUGAAAAGUAAAUAUAUUUUCUCUUCAUUAUUAUUUUCUUAAUAGUACUUUCUCUAGCUUACUUUAUUGUAAGAAUACAGUAUAUUCACAUAUUAACACACAAAAUAUAUUAAUCAACUGUUUAUGUUAUCAGUAAGGCUAUUAGUCAACAGCAGGCUAUUAGUAGUUAACUUUUUGGGGAGUCAAAAGUUACACAUAGAUUUUUGACUACACAGGAGUCAGCACCCUUAAACCUCAUGUUGUGGAAGGGUCAGCUGUAUAUAACAAAUUUUGUUUAUCCACUCAUCCUUUGAUGGACACUCGGGUUGCUUCCAGUUUUUGGCUGUUGUAAAUAAUGCUAUGAACAUGAGUAUACAAAUAUAAAAUGAAUGUGCAUGAGUGUGAAGUACCCGCUUUCCUUUCUUUUGUGUGUAUAUCCCAGAAGUGGAAUUCCAUUUUUAUGGAUCAUAUAGCAAUUCCAUUUUUAGUCUUUUUGGGUGUGUGUGUGUAGUGUCACUCUCAUUUUAUUUUUUUAAGGAAUUGUCAUACUGUUUUCCAUAGCAGCUGUAUCAUUUUACUUUCCCACGAACAGUGCACAAGGUUCUAAUUUCUCCAUAAUCUCACUGAUACUUAUUUUCUGGGGUUUUGUUUGUGUGUGUGUUUCAUAUAGCAGCCAUCCUAAUGGUUGUUAGGUGGUUUACAUUUUUACAUUUAAUGUAAUUAUUUAUAUGUUUGGAUUUAACUCUACCAUUGUAUUGUAGGUUUUCUGUUUGUCUCCUCUGUUUCUUAUUCCUCUGGAUUCUUUCGGAUUAUUUAAAGUUUGAGUAUUUCCUUUUAUUUCUUUAUUAGCUUCUUGACUGUAUUUCUUCAUAUAGCUUUUAGGGAUUUCUCUGGGGCUUACAAUAUACAUACCUAACUUUUCACAAUGUACCUAAAGUUAAUAUUUUUCUACCUUAAGUAAUAUAUGGAAAUCUUCCAGCCAUAUGUUAUAUUUGACAUAUGAAUUACAUACAUUGAAAACUCUACUAGACAAGGUUAUAAUUUUUGCUUCCAAUAGCCACAAAUAUUUUUAAGAACUUAAAGGGUAAGACAUAAUCUGUUAUAUUUACACAGACAUUUAUUGUUUGUGUUGCUCUUCCUUUGUUGAUGAAGUCCAGGUUUUAUUUUCCUUCCACCUAAAGAAUUUCCUUUAGCAUCUCUUUUGGAGAAGGUCUAGUAGUGACAAAUUCUUAGUUUUCCUUCAUUUGAGAAUUUCUUUAUUUUGCCUUUAUUUCCGAAGAAUAUGUUCACCAGACCUAGAAUUCUGGGUUGACAAUUCUGCCCUUUCAGCACUUUAAAAUGUUAUUUCAUGGCCUUCUAGCCUCCAUGGUUUCUAAUGAGAAAUUCACAGUCAUUUGAAUUAUGAUUUAUAUAUAAUGCAUUGUUUUUCUCUGGCUUUUUUUUUUUUUUUUUUUUUUUUGAGACAGAGUCUUGCUCUGUCGUCCAGGCUGGAGUGCAGUGGCGAGAUCUCGGCUCACUGCAAGCUCCGCCUCCUAGGUUCACGCCAUUCUCCUG